Molecule: ribosomal RNA, 497 nt
Filed under: uncultured bacterium
Lineage: Bacteria
Description: partial 16S ribosomal RNA
Rfam family: Bacterial small subunit ribosomal RNA
Source: RNAcentral
GAUGAACGCUGGCGGCGUGCCUAAUACAUGCAAGUCGAGCGAACAGACGAGGAGCUUGCUCCUCUGACGUUAGCGGCGGACGGGUGAGUAACACGUGGAUAACCUACCUAUAAGACUGGGAUAACUUCGGGAAACCGGAGCUAAUACCGGAUAAUAUAUUGAACCGCAUGGUUCAAUAGUGAAAGACGGUUUUGCUGUCACUUAUAGAUGGAUCCGCGCCGCAUUAGCUAGUUGGUAAGGUAACGGCUUACCAAGGCAACGAUGCGUAGCCGACCUGAGAGGGUGAUCGGCCACACUGGAACUGAGACACGGUCCAGACUCCUACGGGAGGGAGCAGUAGGGAAUCUUCCGCAAUGGGCGAAAGCUUGACGGAGCAACGCCGCGUGAGUGAUGAAGGUCUUCGGAUCGUAAAACUCUGUUAUUAGGGAAGAACAAAUGUGUAAGUAACUAUGCACGUCUUGACGGUACCUAAUCAGAAAGCCACGGCUAACUACGUG